Long non-coding RNA from Cyprinus carpio carpio, 800 nucleotides. Lineage: Eukaryota; Metazoa; Chordata; Actinopteri; Cypriniformes; Cyprinidae. The record is from Ensembl.
AUCUUCUUUAUGCACCAAAAGCUGGUAACACUCCAAAGAGAAAGGAAAAAUUUAAAUCGCAUCAUGACCCCUUUAAGCUCACACAGUCUAUCAGACAAGCAGAAAGAAAGAAUGAUCUGUCAUAAAAUGAAUAACUUUGCCCAGUCCUUGAAUGUUAGCCAAUGUAAAUAAAACAGUUAUGAUUGACAAGCAUUACAAAGUAGCAACGAUGAGCAACACAUUCCAAAGUGUCUUCUUCACUCACUUAUAUUUUUAUUAUUUAAAAGCAAACCGAACGUCCUGUUGACUGUCAAGCCUGGAAGCAUUUUGGCAACAGCCUUCAUCAGGAGGCAGGACAGACACACGAUGGGUUAAAAGAAAAAGAUCUGGAGGAGCACAGCGAAAACAUCACUAGCAGAGGUCUGACAAACACUAAAUCUGUAGGAUGCCUCCUGCUGUUCUUCUCAUCGGCUGUCUACUCGCCACAAUCAGCUGUUUAACCACAGUACUCACUAUUCUCGAGAUGAAGGUGAAGACGCUGAAUGAAGAAGAGCGUCAGGCUGAACUGCUUGAGGUUGGCAAAGUGCUGGAGAGUUUCUUAAGAGCGAAUUAUACUGGCAACUUCUCUGUUAAAGUCACGAAAAUUAAAAAGUUAUCACCAUAGGACUGAGUCGGAAAUCUUUUUUUUUAUUUUUUUUACUUUAAAAAAAGUUUUCUAAAAAACUUUUACUGUUUUAGAUUAUACAUGUUGGCGGUUCAACAAAAUGCAUGUGUCUGUGUAUGUGUGAAACAAAUUAUGAAAUGAAUGUGUAAGGAAAGCC